Molecule: ribosomal RNA, 298 nt
Filed under: uncultured bacterium
Lineage: Bacteria
Description: partial 16S ribosomal RNA
Rfam family: Bacterial small subunit ribosomal RNA
Source: RNAcentral
CUAUGCGCCUUGCCAGCCCGCUCAGGUGUGCCAGCCGCCGCGGUAAUACAGAGGUCUCAAGCGUUGUUCGGAGUCACUGGGCGUAAAGCGUGCGUAGGCGGUUUCGUAAGUCGUGUGUGAAAGGCGGGGGCUCAACCCCCGGACUGCACAUGAUACUGCGAGACUAGAGUAAUGGAGGGGGAACCGGAAUUCUCGGUGUAGCAGUGAAAUGUGUAGAUAUCGAGAGGAACACUCGUGGCGAAGGCGGGUUCCUGGACAUUAACUGACGCUGAGGCACGAAGGCCAGGGAGCGAAAGGG